Molecule: long non-coding RNA, 171 nt
Organism: Myotis brandtii (Brandt's bat)
Lineage: Eukaryota; Metazoa; Chordata; Mammalia; Chiroptera; Vespertilionidae
Exons: 3
Source: RefSeq, a predicted model, not a curated record
AAAUACCUAGAGAUCAAUUCCAGAAGGUGAAAGAGCUGUACACUUAAAAUCAUGAGACAUUGAUAAAAGAAAUUGAAGAAGACACAGCUAAAUAGAAAGAUAUUCUGUGGUCAUGUAUUGGAAGAAUUAAUAUGUUAAAAUGUCCAUACUACCCAAAGCAAUUUACAGAUU